AUCCUACGGGGGGCAGCAGUGAGGAAUAUUGGUCAAUGGGCGGAAGCCUGAACCAGCCAAGUCGCGUGAGGGAAGAAGGCCCUGCGGGUCGCAGACCUCUUUGGACGGGGAGCAAGGCCGCCGACGUGUCGGCGGAAGGAGAGUACCCGUAGAACAAGCAUCGGCUAACUCCGUGCCAGCAGCCGCGGUAAUACGGAGGAUGCGAGCGAUAUCCGGAUUUAUUGGGGUUAAAGGGUGCGCAGCCGGCACGGCACGCCGGCGGUACA
Molecule: ribosomal RNA, 266 nt
Filed under: uncultured bacterium
Lineage: Bacteria
Description: partial 16S ribosomal RNA
Rfam family: Bacterial small subunit ribosomal RNA
Source: RNAcentral